CUGUCGAGAAACAAACAGCUUUACUAUUUUCGGACCAAACUGUUUCCGGGCCCGCACGACAGACCUUCGGAUUACAACAAAAUGGAAACACGAGCGGUUCUACUUGUGAUGGCAGUCCCCGACUCCAUCAGUCUCCUCGCUCUCCUCUCUGUGUCUGCCUUGUCCUGGAUGUAAUCCUGAAAUCAUACUCUUCAUAAGUUAAAAGUUGUCGCUGGCCCUGCUCCACCUCCUCCUCCAGAUGUCCCCAACGCUGUAGUAGGUCCCGGUGGGUGAUGGACAGGGUCUCAUGGCGCCGAAUGAUGGGCAUCACCAAAGAUUCAGACCCAUUAUCGAGUUUUAGACGAGGGUCGCCGGGAUCUAACGCACCAAGGGAAGAAGUCGUCAUGUUUGUUUUAUUGCAAAUAUAUUGUCCAGGAAUACCG
Molecule: long non-coding RNA, 422 nt
Organism: Notothenia coriiceps (black rockcod)
Lineage: Eukaryota; Metazoa; Chordata; Actinopteri; Perciformes; Nototheniidae
Exons: 4
Source: RefSeq, a predicted model, not a curated record